Osmia lignaria (orchard mason bee) is the source of this 1090-nucleotide non-coding RNA. The record is from RefSeq and is a predicted model, not a curated record. Lineage: Eukaryota; Metazoa; Arthropoda; Insecta; Hymenoptera; Megachilidae.
GAUUUGCGGAUAUGAAUUCUCCGAAAAGCGUUCGCGAGAGUUUCCUUGAAAACAAGAGUGAGCCCCGUCGCAGAGCGACGACAGGCUCGCACCUCUCCCUCUCUCUCCCGGCGUCCUCGCCCCACACCGCUGGCCAACGGCGUGAGAGAGAUGGGCGCCGAUGAGAGAGGGAUGGCAAUACGACAGAAGUCAGUCGCGUUAGACAUUCGGGAAACAGUUCGCUCGAACAACCAUCUCACAACGUCAAAUAACGCAUAUAGUCAGGAAAGUCACGUAGGACCAAUCAAGCAACAUCCAGUCAGUUAAUAAAAUAAAAUAAACCAAAAUAGAAUCAAAGCAACCAAGGCAGCAGGUAUCUAGCAGAAAGGAAAUAUAAAAGAAAAGAAAAGAAGCAAACAAGGAACAGCACACCGUCAUCAAAAAGCUAUACUAUUAUCGAAGAGAAACGGCUUGAAUAAAUUAAAUUAAAGAAUACCAGAGAAGAAUAUCAAAAUGUCAAAAUGUCCAAGGAAUGUCCAAGGAUAGAGGUGACAAGAAAUAAAAUAAAAUAAAUGAUGAACUUAUCAUGAGUCAAAAUAAAUUAAAUCUUAACAGUUACCUUGAUUCAAUUAAUUCAGAAUGAAUGAACAAUGACAGCAUGAAAUGAACGACUGAACAAUGAAAUCAAUUAAAGAUAUUAAAGAAGAAUGAAGUAAAAAAUAAUAAUAAGCAUAAAGUAUAAAGUGAAGGCUGUAACCAACCUAAUGUAGAUAAUGUAAUGUAAUGCACUGUAAUAUAAGUAAUGCAAUAUACUGUAAAACAGAAUGUAAUAAUAAACUGAAUACAAAAUACAAAAUACAAGAAAUGAACUCAAUAAAUAUAAACGUAAAGAUUAUUAACUACAAUACUCUAUUUCUCACUAGAGUAGAUUAUAAGUUAGAUUGUAAACGGUAAAUGGUAGAUGAUAAAUGAUCAUGUCAAUACAAUUGCAAACAGAACUAAUUAAUGAAUGACAUAUCAAAAUAGAGUAGCUAAAGCAACAAAUAAAUGAACCAAAUAUAAAGUACGCAGUUCAAUAAACACUAUACCAGUGUAUAAACUGAAAUAACAA